GGCGGCACGCUUAACACAUGCAAGUGGAACGAAGUAGCAAUACUUAGUGGCAGACGGGUGAGUAACAUGUAGGUAUCUGCCCUUUGGCCUGGAAUAACACGAGGAAACUUGUGCUAAUACCGGAUAAGUCUUUACGGAGAAAGCUUUAUGCACCAUUGGAUGAGCCUGCGCUUGAUUAGUUUGUUGGUGGGGUAAUGGCCCUCCAACGCUGUGAUCAAUAGCUGAUUUGAGAGGAUGAUCAGCCACAUUGGGACUGAGACACGGCCCAAACUCCUACGGGAGGCAGCAGUGGGGAAUCUUGCACAAUGGAGGAAACUCUGAUGCAGCGAUGCCGCGUGAGUGAAGAAGGCCGUUGGGUUGUAGAGCUCUUUCGUCGGGGAAGAAAAUGACUGUACCCGAAUAAGAAGGUCCGGCUAACUUCGUGCC
Molecule: ribosomal RNA, 426 nt
Filed under: uncultured bacterium
Lineage: Bacteria
Description: bacterial SSU rRNA
Rfam family: Bacterial small subunit ribosomal RNA
Source: RNAcentral